AUUGAACGCUGGCGGCAGGCCUAACACAUGCAAGUCGAGCGGAUGAAGGGAGCUUGCUCCUGGAUUCAGCGGCGGACGGGUGAGUAAUGCCUAGGAAUCUGCCUGGUAGUGGGGGAUAACGUCCGGAAACGGGCGCUAAUACCGCAUACGUCCUGAGGGAGAAAGUGGGGGUUCUUCGGACCUCACGCUAUCAGAUGAGCCUAGUUCGGAUUAGCUAGUUGGUGGGGUAAAGGCCUACCAAGGCGACGAUCCGUAACUGGUCUGAGAGGAUGAUCAGUCACACUGGAACUGAGACACGGUCCAGACUCCUACGGGAGGCAGCAGUGGGGAAUAUUGGACAAUGGGCGAAAGCCUGACGCAGCCACGCCGCGUGUGUGAAGAAGGUCUUCGGAUUGUAAAGCACUGUAAGUUGGGAGGAAGGGCAGUAAGUGAAUCCCUUGCUGUCUUGACGUUACCAACAGAAUAAGCCACGGCUAACUUCGUG
This 484-nucleotide ribosomal RNA is filed under the name uncultured bacterium. RNAcentral's name for it is "partial 16S ribosomal RNA". It matches the Rfam family "Bacterial small subunit ribosomal RNA", at positions 30 to 507 of the family's 1533-position model. The record is from RNAcentral.